UACGAAGGGGGCUAGCGUUGCUCGGAAUUACUGGGCGUAAAGCGCACGUAGGCGGUUUGUUAAGUCAGGGGUGAAAUCCCGGAGCUCAACUCCGGAACUGCCUUUGAUACUGGCAAGCUAGAGUCCGGAAGAGGUAAGUGGAACUCCUAGUGUAGAGGUGGAAUUCGUAGAUAUUAGGAAGAACACCAGUGGCGAAGGCGGCUUACUGGUCCGGAACUGACGCUGAGGUGCGAAAGCGUGGGGAGCAAACAGG
RNAcentral lists this ribosomal RNA (253 nucleotides) under uncultured bacterium. RNAcentral describes it as "partial 16S ribosomal RNA". It matches the Rfam family "Bacterial small subunit ribosomal RNA", at positions 524 to 776 of the family's 1533-position model. The record is from RNAcentral.